GUCUGCAACCCGACUCCACGAAGCUGGAUUCGCUAGUAAUCGCGCAUCAGCCAUGGCGCGGUGAAUACGUUCCCGGGCCUUGUACACACCGCCCGUCAAGCCAUGAAAGCCGGGGGUGCCUGAAGUCCGUGACCGCGAGGGUCGGCCUAGGGUAAAACUGGUGAUUGGGGCUAAGUCGUAACAAGGUAGC
RNAcentral lists this ribosomal RNA (190 nucleotides) under uncultured bacterium. RNAcentral's name for it is "partial 16S ribosomal RNA". It matches the Rfam family "Bacterial small subunit ribosomal RNA", at positions 1303 to 1500 of the family's 1533-position model. The record is from RNAcentral.